GACUGCCGUGGAUAACACGGAGGAAGUGGGGAUGACGUCAAAUCAUCAUGCCCCUUAUGAUCUGGGCUACACACGUGCUACAAUGGUCGGUACAACGGGCAGCGAAAGAGUAAUCUGGAGCGAAUCCUAAAAAGCCGAUCCCAGUUCGGAUUGUGGGCUGAAACUCGCCCACAUGAAGUUGGAGUUGCUAGUAAUCGCGAAUCAGAAUGUCGCGGUGAAUGCGUUCCCGGGUCUU
RNAcentral lists this ribosomal RNA (235 nucleotides) under uncultured Fusibacter sp. RNAcentral describes it as "partial 16S ribosomal RNA". It matches the Rfam family "Bacterial small subunit ribosomal RNA", at positions 1147 to 1382 of the family's 1533-position model. The record is from RNAcentral. Lineage: Bacteria; Bacillati; Bacillota; Clostridia; Eubacteriales; Fusibacteraceae.